CCUCCUUAAAGAUAAAUAAUAAGCUUUGCUUGUCUUUUAAACAGGUGUCUACACUUUAUUGCUUUAACAUGUUCUUUAACAAAAAGGGAAGAAGUAAACAAACGAGUAAAGAAGAAAGACGCGAGAGGACUUGUUGGAACUGUGUGUUAGCUGUAAUUUAGUUAAUCGUCAGUUUAGAUGAGUUCGCUAAGGUAAGAAAGAAGUCAGCGAAAGGUCAUAUAAGGUUAUAUGAUCAAGAGAAUAAGUGCAUAUGGCGGAUGCCUUGGCAGUAGGAGGCGAUGAAGGACGUAGUAGCGUGCGAAAAGCUUCGGGGAGCUAGCAAACGAGCAUUGAUCCGGAGAUUUCCGA
Molecule: unclassified non-coding RNA, 348 nt
Filed under: uncultured Gammaproteobacteria bacterium
Lineage: Bacteria; Pseudomonadati; Pseudomonadota; Gammaproteobacteria
Description: partial 16S-23S ribosomal RNA intergenic spacer
Rfam family: Bacterial large subunit ribosomal RNA (bases 231-348)
Source: RNAcentral